CUCCUACGGGAGGCAGCAGUGGGGAAUAUUGGACAAUGGGCGCAAGCCUGAUCCAGCCAUGCCGCGUGAGUGAUGAAGGCCUUAGGGUUGUAAAGCUCUUUCACCGAUGAAGAUAAUGACGGUAGUCGGAGAAGAAGCCCCGGCUAACUUCGUGCCAGCAGCCGCGGUAAUACGAAGGGGGCUAGCGUUGUUCGGAUUUACUGGGCGUAAAGCGCACGUAGGCGGUUUGUUAAGUCAGAGGUGAAAUCCCGGAGCUCACCUCCGGAACUGCCUUUGAUACUGGCAAGCUAGAGUCCGGAAGAGGUAAGUGGAACUCCUAGUGUAGAGGUGGAAUUCGUAGAUAUUAGGAAGAACACCAGUGGCGAAGGCGGCUUACUGGUCCGGAACUGACGCUGAGGUGCGAAAGCGUGGGGAGCAAACAGGAUUAGAUACCCGAGUAGUC
Molecule: ribosomal RNA, 442 nt
Filed under: uncultured Hyphomicrobiales bacterium
Lineage: Bacteria; Pseudomonadati; Pseudomonadota; Alphaproteobacteria; Hyphomicrobiales
Description: bacterial SSU rRNA
Rfam family: Bacterial small subunit ribosomal RNA
Source: RNAcentral